UCACUACUUGCGUAGGCAGUUUCACUAGAGUUCCCAGCAUGACCUGAUGGCAACUAAUGAUAGGGGUUGCGCUCGUUAUGGGACUUAACCCGACACCUCACGGCACGAGCUGACGACAACCAUGCAGCACCUCGCUGGCCGCUCCGAAGAGAAAUCCGGUUUCCCGGACGGUCGUCCAGCGUUCUAGCCCAGGUAAGGUUCCUCGCGUAUCAUCGAAUUAAACCACAUGCUCCUCCGCUUGUGCGGGCCCCCGUCAAUUCCUUUGAGUUUCAAUCUUGCGAUCGUACUCCCCAGGUGGAUCACUUAAUGCUUUCGCUUAGACGCUGACAGUAUAUCGCCAACAUCGAGUGAUCAUCGUUUACAGCGUGGACUAC
Molecule: unclassified non-coding RNA, 374 nt
Filed under: uncultured Lentimicrobiaceae bacterium
Lineage: Bacteria; Pseudomonadati; Bacteroidota; Bacteroidia; Bacteroidales; Lentimicrobiaceae
Description: contains 16S-23S intergenic spacer region
Source: RNAcentral